GAGGGAUGUGCACUGGGCAGCAGACAUCAGACACGGAGGGACUGUGUUCGAAGGGUGCCGUGAGCUGCUGCUUUAUUUAACAUGGAUUUUCGCUUAACAAGACAGUGACACGGUGCGUGGCUGCUUGCGUGUGCUGAUGCAAGCUUGCUGCCUGCUGGGAGGUGCCUGGGAAGGCAGCCAGCUGCUCCUGAGGACCACCAUGGCUCCAGCAUUGACACAAAAGUAGAGAGAAGACAGAAAAGCAGGAAGACCACCACCACCACCACCACCACCACCAGCACAGUGAGAGAAAGGAUAGAGACAAGCAGUGAAAGUUAAUAAAUGCACUGAUGGGUGUGGCGUUCGACACAGGUUUCACCAUUAGUCUGACUGUGGGGGCUGCAUUCUCCCACUGGGGAAGUACUGGCUGGUUGGUGGCCUUGGCUGUCUACCCACUCACUCUUCCUGUGGCUGACAUACUGUUCUUUGCUCUCUUCUUCCAGGAAUUGUUGCCCGAGGGACUGACAGAGAUAAGAAAGUGAAUGAUGUGCAUCUGAGUGUGUGACUGCCAGCCUGGUGUAAGUCACACCAUCACCCAGUCACCUGAUGACUCGCCUGGCAUCACCUGCAGAGCUGUGAGAGGCAGGAGCACGGAAGGGGAGGUGUUCACAAGACAUGUCAACACCACCAGUGUGAGGGGAAGUGUAUGGUGAGCCAUACUGGUGCUGCAUGCAACUCCUGUGCUGACCUGGGAGGGAAGGCAGGUGAGAGACCAGACUGACCUACGGAAGGACUGUUACUCUGGGAGAGACACCUGACAGACGCCUUACAGCACACAACACUUGGGACACACUCCCCAAGCCGUAUCAUAGACACUGCAGUCGUGAUAUACUCGUACCUCUAAUCCUGGUGAC
Long non-coding RNA from Scylla paramamosain (green mud crab), 893 nucleotides. RefSeq lists it as uncharacterized. The transcript is spliced from 5 exons. The record is from RefSeq and is a predicted model, not a curated record. Lineage: Eukaryota; Metazoa; Arthropoda; Malacostraca; Decapoda; Portunidae.